AAACGCGUAAGGUUAAAUUAGUUUAACAUUAUAUUUAAUGCUUAUUUAAAAAGUAGAUUGAUAGGUGCGUUUGAUCCUAUAAUUUUUUAAGUGAUAUGCUUUCGUUGUGUAUAACAAAAAUGUUGAGUUAAUACCAAUUUACAGAAAAUCAUUUGCAUAACUGUACUAUCUACAUAUAUAUCAUAAAAUGAUAUUUUACUCAUGCGUUUGUUGUGAAUUAUUCGAUAUCAACGAUACACUAUUUUUCUAUUAACUGCAAGGGAAUCAUUACUAAUUAAUCCAUCCAACGGAAAGGGUAAUGUCGUCGUUGAAUUUAAAAGAGAUUUCAAUGCCACGUUUAGGUUAUCUAUUAAACAGAAAUACAAGAAGCAAAAGAUUCUAUCAAACAUUUAAAAAGUUGGUUGAAGGACAUUAUGAACAGGUCCAGUUAAUAUAUUGGAGAGUAAAUAUGAAGGAAGCAAUUAAACGAAGUAAUAAGGCAAAAAAAAAUAGUGAUAGGCUGUAAUCACAAGGGAAAGACUUUUUGGAAUGUUUAUAUCUACAGUUAUUAAUUUCUUUGUCAAGUACUCUGAUCAUAGCAAUGUUAAAUAUUUGGAUCCCAAAAAGACACCAUAAUACAAAAAUGUAUUGACAAAAAUAGUAUAAAGUAAAGGAAAUGUUUCUACAAGGAAUAUUUUGGGAAUGCUUCUGUGACCAUUAUUUGUGUUGAGACGCAUAUAUAUCGCACAAAAAUUUUUUACUUUUGCUUAUAUUCACGCACUUUCUUAUAUUAUAAAAUGAGUUGCAGUGAAAUCAAAAUGUAUUCAAAUCUAUCAUUGCGCAAGGUGGUACACUCUUCGAGAAACAGAAGUAUUUUUUAAAGUAGUUGAAUAUGCACCUGUCUUAUGAAAAUUUAGCAUUUAUUAUAGGUUUCUUCUAUCAGGUGCAAAUUUAUUUUGAAAUGAUAUUUUGCUUUGUACAUUGUACUUUAUUGGUCAUUUCAUGUCCAUUGAGCAAUUGACAUCCGGAAAUCUUACGGCAUUUUUGAUGCCAACAUAGGUAGUUCAAAGUACUUAAGUAUGCUAUCAUUGCCAAUGAUGGUGGGAGAAAAGACAUUAAUACAUUAGGAAAACUCUUAAAAGAUCUGAAGAAAGCAUUAUCUACAGUCAAGGACGUGAAUUAUUUAGAAAACGAAUUAAAAGAGAAAAUCCAAAACCAUAAAGGAUCGAGGAAGAAUCGAAUCUUAACAGCAAAAUCAUGGAGAAAGAACAAUGAGUUAAAGGAUCAUUCACAAGACGUUUUUCUUCAGAGUCAUAUUGACAAGACGUUGAAAAGGAGCCGCCUGAAGAAAACAAAGUAUGGAAAUGGAAUAAAGGAUUCAGACCAAAUAAUCUGGAUUUAGACCAUCGAAGAAAAGAGCCUUCAACAAUACGGAACAAGCAACAAGGAUGUUACACAAAAGCGAGCCUCUUGUGAAAGUCAAAUUUAGUAGGUACAAAUGAUACGUCAGCUUACAUACUGCAAUGGAAUAUUCUAAGAUAUACACAUCAAUAAAGAAGUAAGAAGUAACGUUUUAUAUCAAAAAUCAAGCUCGGAAUUGCGACAAAUAGAAACACUGAAUAAAAUAAGCAUUAAAUCACAGUUUUAAGAUAAUCGAAAGGAUGAAACUAUUACAUAUAUGUAAUCUAAUAUUCGAUCACCGAUCUAACGAAAUAAUGAUGAAACGCAGAAUGGUACCAUGAAGAAGGAUAAUCUGCAACAGCAUAGUAAUAACACAAACGCAUUCUAGUAAAAUCACUUGUCAACUGAUUUCUUUUUAAACGUAAUGGUUAGUGAAAUAAUAAUCGAAAAAAAGAAAGUUACUCAAAAUUCACUUUUAGAUUGCAAUUAACAAGUAGGUAAUAUACUUUGAUACGAAUUUUAAAUAAGCCAAACUUUUCAUAAAGCUCAUAUAUUAUACAAUUUCCAAAGAUUAGAAAAUUUCUAAUAGUUUUAGUCUACCAUCAAAAAAUUCUUAGGAUUGAAUUCUUUAGCAUCAAUUAUAUCAAUUACGCUGGAUGAAGGACUUAUAUUAUUUAUAUUAGCUAUAUUCAAAAUUUUAUAAAGCGCUCUUUUGAUCGUUCAAAAAAGUAAUUGUGAAAGAAAGAUAAAGUACGAAUGAAUAUUAUAAAUUCGCCCACACACUUCGACAAGAUUUUUUUCUUGUAAAUAGAAUUGAAUAUAUCAAAUAUAUUCAAUUGAUAUAUAUAUAUAUAUAUAUAUUUAGUCGUUAAUUUAUGGAGUAAAUUUAAUAUUACUAUAAUGUCUGAUAUCGGAAACAAUGUAAUGUUCAUAUCUGUCGCACUGCCUGUGAUUUUAUCGGAUUAAAGCAAAAAUAUUACAUCCGAAAUAUUCGAAAAGUUCUCAAAAAUUUUUCUUCCCUGGAUAUAAUAUAACAUCGGCACCGUUAAUCGAAUGGAUGUUUAAAUUGUUUCAACUAUUGUAUAAACGAACGUCGCUACUAGAAUUAUUACCUUACAUUUGCUAAUUUUCGUUAUAAUACGUGCCUAUCAAUAAAACGUCUAUCGGUUAUAUGUCAUCAUAUAUAAU
This is a long non-coding RNA of Vespa mandarinia (Asian giant hornet), 2568 nucleotides long. The record is from RefSeq and is a predicted model, not a curated record. NCBI's taxonomy places the organism in Eukaryota, Metazoa, Arthropoda, Insecta, Hymenoptera, Vespidae.